UUGCUUUGACAGCAUAUAUACUAAAAGUGGAAUAAUACAAAGAAGAUUAGUAUGGCCCUGCAUUAGGAUGACAUGCAAAUUAGUGAAUCAUUUCAUCUUUAU
This is a small nuclear RNA of Antechinus flavipes (yellow-footed antechinus), 102 nucleotides long. Lineage: Eukaryota; Metazoa; Chordata; Mammalia; Dasyuromorphia; Dasyuridae. The record is from RefSeq and is a predicted model, not a curated record.